RNAcentral lists this ribosomal RNA (458 nucleotides) under uncultured bacterium. RNAcentral's name for it is "bacterial SSU rRNA". It matches the Rfam family "Bacterial small subunit ribosomal RNA", at positions 29 to 524 of the family's 1533-position model. The record is from RNAcentral.
AGCGAACGCUAGCGGCGGGCCUAACACAUGCAAGUCGAGCGCAUACCUUCGGGUAUGAGCGGCGGACGGGUGAGUAACGCGUAGGUCAUCUACCCUUUGGUGGGGGAUAACCCAGGGAAACUUGGGCUAAUACCGCACGAGGUCCACGGAUCAAAGCCUUCGGGCGCCAGAGGAUGAGCCUGCGUCGCAUUACCUAGUUGGCGGGGUAACGGCCCACCAAGGGGACGAUGCGUAGCUGGUCUGAGAGGAUGAUCAGCCACACUGGGACUGAGACAGGCCCAGACUCCUACGGGAGGCAGCAGUGGGUAAUAUUGCGCAAUGGGGGAAACCCUGACGCAGCCACGCCGCGUGGGUGAUGAAGGCCUUCGGGUUGUAAACGCCCUGUCGGGAGGGACGAAUUCUUGACGGUACCUCCAAAGAAAGACACCGGCUAACUCCGUGCCAGCAGCCGCGGUAAU